UACGGAGGGUGCGAGCGUUAAUCGGAAUUACUGGGCGUAAAGCGUACGUAGGCGGCUUUGUAAGUCGGUUGUGAAAUCCCCGGGCUUAACCUGGGAAUUGCAGUCGAUACUGCAUGGCUGGAGUAUGGUAGAGGGUAGUGGAAUUCCGGGUGUAGCGGUGAAAUGCGUAGAUAUCCGGAGGAACACCAGUGGCGAAGGCGGCUACCUGGACCAAUACUGACGCUGAGGUACGAAAGCGUGGGGAGCAAACAGG
RNAcentral lists this ribosomal RNA (253 nucleotides) under uncultured bacterium. Its description in RNAcentral is "partial 16S ribosomal RNA". It matches the Rfam family "Bacterial small subunit ribosomal RNA", at positions 524 to 776 of the family's 1533-position model. The record is from RNAcentral.